CCCGUCUUGAAACACGGACCAAGGAGUCUAACAUGUGCGCGAGUCAUUGGGUGGACUCUAAACCUAAAGGCGCAAUGAAAGUGAAGGUCACGCCUCGCGCGGACCGAGGGAAGAUGGGGCGCGCGGCAGCGCCGCUCCCGCAUUCCCGGGGCGUCUCGUUCUCAUUGCGAGUUGAGGCGCACCCAGAGCGUACACGUUGGGACCCGAAAGAUGGUGAACUAUGCCUGGCCAGGACGAAGUCAGGGGAAACCCUGAUGGAGGUCCGUAGCGAUUCUGACGUGCAAAUCGAUCGUCGGAGCUGGGUAUAGGGG
Molecule: ribosomal RNA, 311 nt
Filed under: Cyphoderris monstrosa
Lineage: Eukaryota; Metazoa; Arthropoda; Insecta; Orthoptera; Prophalangopsidae
Description: eukaryotic LSU rRNA
Rfam family: Eukaryotic large subunit ribosomal RNA
Source: RNAcentral